This 489-nucleotide long non-coding RNA is filed under the name Lathyrus oleraceus (garden pea). RNAcentral's name for it is "Pisum sativum (pea) long non-coding RNA (PSAT_LNC009548)". Lineage: Eukaryota; Viridiplantae; Streptophyta; Magnoliopsida; Fabales; Fabaceae. The record is from RNAcentral.
UUGUUUGUGGCUGGAAUAGUAACUGCAUCUUGUGAUGAAUUUUUGUGUGCACUUGUGUUGUUGGGAAAUGAAGAUUGAGAUUGAGAUUGAGAAGUUGCAUUGGUAGAUCUAGUUGUGGAAGUGUUGUUUUGAAAUGGAUCAAGAGGAUUGGUUGUGUUGUUGAGAGUUUGUGGAGUGGUGGUGUUUGGGAAAAAGUAUGAGAAAAUGGAGGAAAAUUGAGAAGUGGAAAAACUAGGUGUUGGGGAAAUUGUUGUGGUGGAAGAAGGGGAAAAAGCUAGGAAGAGAGUGAAAGCAAUGAAAAUGAGCAUAAAAGCAUAAGCAAAAGCGAUGGUGGUUUUGGUUUUGAGAAUGGAGAAGAGGUUUUUGAAGUCGAGUUUGUGGAAGUUGUUAGGAGUGGUGGUAGUUGUGGCUAUGGGGGUGUAUUUGGUGGUGUCAGCCAUGGAAGUUGGAGUUUGAAAGGGUUGUUUUGAAGAUGGGAGAGAUCUAGAG